Molecule: non-coding RNA, 320 nt
Organism: Pelobates cultripes (western spadefoot toad)
Lineage: Eukaryota; Metazoa; Chordata; Amphibia; Anura; Pelobatidae
Source: the annotation of a GenBank genome assembly
CUCUAGGUAAUUUACACCACUAUAAGCUUUUAUCAAUUUCUUAAUUUUGGCAGAAAAUUCCUUAACAUUGUGUAGCAGUGUUAAUCUCAGUCUAGUCAGUAUUCUAACCACUUUUUAAUUCUCUUUAAACCUCUUACAUAUAGAAGCCUGUGAUUUGACCAUUUUGCUGGCUCAGAAUGUAUGAGUGCUAUCUGAGCCAGCACGAAAGGAACAGGAUUUAAUUUUUUUUUCUUUAAAGCUUAUACAAUUAACAGAGUGAGGGAAAACCUAUCUUCCCCUUACAGGCGCCCUGCCGGCAAGAGAGAAGAUAACGUCAGUUG